CGGAGUCUGCAACCCGACUCCGUGAAGCUGGAUUCGCUAGUAAUCGCGCAUCAGCCAUGGUGCGGUGAAUACGUUCCCGGGCCUUGUACACACCGCCCGUCAAGCCAUGGGAGCCGGGGGUGCUUGAAGUGCGUCGCCGCAAGGCGCGCCCUAGAGCAAAACCGGUGACUGGGGCUAAGUCGUAACAAGGUAUC
This 194-nucleotide ribosomal RNA is filed under the name uncultured bacterium. Its description in RNAcentral is "partial 16S ribosomal RNA". It matches the Rfam family "Bacterial small subunit ribosomal RNA", at positions 1299 to 1500 of the family's 1533-position model. The record is from RNAcentral.